GAAAAAAGCAACAGGAGUCCAUCCCAUUCUCUUGAGACAACAGGUUCACUGAUCACAGAGAAAAUUUCUUUUCCCUCAGAGUUUAGGCACCUUCAGGUCUGUGCUGUCACCAAUAUCCUUACUGCUACUGCCAUGGAGCAGGGAUUCAAGAUAACCAAAGGAAGACAAAGGUAAAGAAAAAUAAGAAGUUUUCUCCACUCUCUCUGAGCACUCAAAGAUUGUUUUUUUCACAUCUUGAGCCAGAACUAGAAGACUUCCAUUGCUCUCUCUCUUUCUAUAUCAAUACCCACUUCUGGGAUUCAGGCUUCCUUGGACCCAGGCUGGCAGAUGGAGAGCAAAAAAUGGGACAAAAUGGCAGCAGCCAGCCUGACCAUUCCCUUCCCAUCAUGAGGGAGAGGGCUGUGGUAUGGACAGCAGCAGCUGACUGGCCACAGGUGCAGCCACUGCCAUCCAGCCCCGACUCAUUCCUAGAAUAAGAACCACCAGACUGCCCUCUGACACCUGCCUCAGCGGUCCCCACCACUCCUCAAACCCUGUCACCGUCCACAGACAAGCCCUGGAGGGGUGGGGAAAAGGUUUCAUUGUGAGAAACCACUGGGGAUCCUGAAGUUAAAACUCAUCAAAGUGUGGGGAAAACUAAGACUGGCCUAGCAGGAUUUUUACUCUCAAGCUAAUCUACACUCAACCUCAAAGAAUUUAUUAAAAUUCACAUUUAACCAUCUUAUCAGUAUACAUCUUCAAGAGCUUUCGUUUCUGGUACAAAAGUUUCAGCUGCAGUUACUUGUAUUCAUCUGUCUCUUCAGAUUUCGAGGUGGUGGUCUGUCUUGUGAGCUCAAGUCUCUGGUGAUUCUAAUAAAUGUCAUUGAUUUUUUAAGUCUUCUCAGAUUUAUUUCUUGUUUUUAGGAUGGGAGUGGUGACUUCCAAGCUUUUUACAUGUGAAAGGUAAACCAAAGUCAACGUGAAUCUCCUCUUCAUGUCUACAACUGAGCAACAGGUUUUUCAAACCUUGUAGCUCAACCCCUACUAUCUGACAGUCUUUCAGACACAGCUAAGAGUCUAUAUAUCUUUCUGUUUCACAACCUCGCUCUGAUACUCUCUGUGUGUUUCAUCAUUCUAUCUUUUAGCAUGGUUAGGAUGAUCCUCACCUAGAAUGGAGAAACCUCCAGAGAUUUGAAUCUGAGAAAACUAAGUUUCCUUGAUUCUUCAGUGUUUUUUCUGACUACUCAAUAGCAG
RNAcentral lists this long non-coding RNA (1233 nucleotides) under Homo sapiens (human). Its description in RNAcentral is "HSALNT0121353". The record is from RNAcentral. Lineage: Eukaryota; Metazoa; Chordata; Mammalia; Primates; Hominidae.